This 226-nucleotide long non-coding RNA is filed under the name Lathyrus oleraceus (garden pea). RNAcentral's name for it is "Pisum sativum (pea) long non-coding RNA (PSAT_LNC004530)". Lineage: Eukaryota; Viridiplantae; Streptophyta; Magnoliopsida; Fabales; Fabaceae. The record is from RNAcentral.
UGAGCAACAAGGAUCAUACAACAAUAUUCAAGCAAAGAUCCAAAUGAUCAGAGUACAACAUUAAAUCCCAUCCAACAAUCCUGGAGGUGAUUCUCAACAUAAACAACAAAUACAAACUAAGGAAGAUGUCCUCCAGGAAUGAGAGUCUUCAGAUACUGGCACUGGUCUAUCAACAGGUCACAUUCUGAACAUUCAGGCAGAGGAGUGAGCUUCUCCUUCAGUUGCC